CCCUUGAAGGGUCGUUCGAGACCAGGACGUUGAUAGGUCAGGUGUGUAAGCGCAGUAAUGCGUUCAGCUAACUGAUACUAAUUGCCCGUAAGGCUUGAUCCUAUAACA
Molecule: ribosomal RNA, 108 nt
Filed under: Burkholderia cenocepacia
Lineage: Bacteria; Pseudomonadati; Pseudomonadota; Betaproteobacteria; Burkholderiales; Burkholderiaceae
Description: partial 23S ribosomal RNA
Rfam family: Bacterial large subunit ribosomal RNA
Source: RNAcentral